RNAcentral lists this ribosomal RNA (2909 nucleotides) under Salmonella enterica. Its description in RNAcentral is "23S ribosomal RNA". It matches the Rfam family "Bacterial large subunit ribosomal RNA". Lineage: Bacteria; Pseudomonadati; Pseudomonadota; Gammaproteobacteria; Enterobacterales; Enterobacteriaceae. RNAcentral also lists the same sequence under 2 other names. The record is from RNAcentral.
GGUUAAGCGACCAAGCGUACACGGUGGAUGCCCUGGCAGUCAGAGGCGAUGAAGGACGUGCUAAUCUGCGAAAAGCGCCGGUAAGGUGAUAUGAACCGUUAUAACCGGCGAUGUCCGAAUGGGGAAACCCAGUGUGACUCGUCACACUAUCAUUAACUGAAUCCAUAGGUUAAUGAGGCGAACCGGGGGAACUGAAACAUCUAAGUACCCCGAGGAAAAGAAAUCAACCGAGAUUCCCCCAGUAGCGGCGAGCGAACGGGGAGGAGCCCAGAGCCUGAAUCAGCAUGUGUGUUAGUGGAAGCGUCUGGAAAGGCGCGCGAUACAGGGUGAGAGCCCCGUACACAAAAGCGCAUAUGCUGUGAGCUCGAUGAGUAGGGCGGGACACGUGGUAUCCUGUCUGAAUAUGGGGGGACCAUCCUCCAAGGCUAAAUACUCCUGACUGACCGAUAGUGAACCAGUACCGUGAGGGAAAGGCGAAAAGAACCCCGGCGAGGGGAGUGAAACAGAACCUGAAACCGUGUACGUACAAGCAGUGGGAGCCUCUCUUUAUGGGGGGUGACUGCGUACCUUUUGUAUAAUGGGUCAGCGACUUAUAUUCUGUAGCAAGGUUAACCGCAUAGGGGAGCCGAAGGGAAACCGAGUCUUAAUUGGGCGUUAAGUUGCAGGGUAUAGACCCGAAACCCGGUGAUCUAGCCAUGGGCAGGUUGAAGGUUGGGUAACACUAACUGGAGGACCGAACCGACUAAUGUUGAAAAAUUAGCGGAUGACCUGUGGCUGGGGGUGAAAGGCCAAUCAAACCGGGAGAUAGCUGGUUCUCCCCGAAAGCUAUUUAGGUAGCGCCUCGUGAACUCAUCUCCGGGGGUAGAGCACUGUUUCGGCUAGGGGGCCAUCCCGGCUUACCAACCCGAUGCAAACUGCGAAUACCGGAGAAUGUUAUCACGGGAGACACACGGCGGGUGCUAACGUCCGUCGUGAAGAGGGAAACAACCCAGACCGCCAGCUAAGGUCCCAAAGUCAUGGUUAAGUGGGAAACGAUGUGGGAAGGCCCAGACAGCCAGGAUGUUGGCUUAGAAGCAGCCAUCAUUUAAAGAAAGCGUAAUAGCUCACUGGUCGAGUCGGCCUGCGCGGAAGAUGUAACGGGGCUAAACCAUGCACCGAAGCUGCGGCAGCGACACUUUAGUGUUGUUGGGUAGGGGAGCGUUCUGUAAGCCGUUGAAGGUGUCCUGUGAGGGGUGCUGGAGGUAUCAGAAGUGCGAAUGCUGACAUAAGUAACGAUAAAGCGGGUGAAAAGCCCGCUCGCCGGAAGACCAAGGGUUCCUGUCCAACGUUAAUCGGGGCAGGGUGAGUCGACCCCUAAGGCGAGGCCGAAAGGCGUAGUCGAUGGGAAACGGGUUAAUAUUCCCGUACUUGGUGUUACUGCGAAGGGGGGACGGAGAAGGCUAUGUUGGCCGGGCGACGGUAGUCCCGGUUUAAGCGUGUAGGUGUGUGUUCCAGGCAAAUCCGGUUCACUUUAACACUGAGGCGUGAUGACGAGGCACCACGGUGCUGAAGCAACAAAUGCCCUGCUUCCAGGAAAAGCCUCUAAGCAUCAGGUAACAUCAAAUCGUACCCCAAACCGACACAGGUGGUCAGGUAGAGAAUACCAAGGCGCUUGAGAGAACUCGGGUGAAGGAACUAGGCAAAAUGGUGCCGUAACUUCGGGAGAAGGCACGCUGACACGUAGGUGAAGUGAUUUACUCACGGAGCUGAAGUCAGUCGAAGAUACCAGCUGGCUGCAACUGUUUAUUAAAAACACAGCACUGUGCAAACACGAAAGUGGACGUAUACGGUGUGACGCCUGCCCGGUGCCGGAAGGUUAAUUGAUGGGGUCAGCGCAAGCGAAGCUCCUGAUCGAAGCCCCGGUAAACGGCGGCCGUAACUAUAACGGUCCUAAGGUAGCGAAAUUCCUUGUCGGGUAAGUUCCGACCUGCACGAAUGGCGUAAUGAUGGCCAGGCUGUCUCCACCCGAGACUCAGUGAAAUUGAACUCGCUGUGAAGAUGCAGUGUACCCGCGGCAAGACGGAAAGACCCCGUGAACCUUUACUAUAGCUUGACACUGAACAUUGAGCCUUGAUGUGUAGGAUAGGUGGGAGGCUUUGAAGCGUGGACGCCAGUCUGCGUGGAGCCGACCUUGAAAUACCACCCUUUAAUGUUUGAUGUUCUAACGUGGACCCGUAAUCCGGGUUGCGGACAGUGUCUGGUGGGUAGUUUGACUGGGGCGGUCUCCUCCUAAAGAGUAACGGAGGAGCACGAAGGUUGGCUAAUCCUGGUCGGACAUCAGGAGGUUAGUGCAAUGGCAUAAGCCAGCUUGACUGCGAGCGUGACGGCGCGAGCAGGUGCGAAAGCAGGUCAUAGUGAUCCGGUGGUUCUGAAUGGAAGGGCCAUCGCUCAACGGAUAAAAGGUACUCCGGGGAUAACAGGCUGAUACCGCCCAAGAGUUCAUAUCGACGGCGGUGUUUGGCACCUCGAUGUCGGCUCAUCACAUCCUGGGGCUGAAGUAGGUCCCAAGGGUAUGGCUGUUCGCCAUUUAAAGUGGUACGCGAGCUGGGUUUAGAACGUCGUGAGACAGUUCGGUCCCUAUCUGCCGUGGGCGCUGGAGAAUUGAGGGGGGCUGCUCCUAGUACGAGAGGACCGGAGUGGACGCAUCACUGGUGUUCGGGUUGUCAUGCCAAUGGCACUGCCCGGUAGCUAAAUGCGGAAAAGAUAAGUGCUGAAAGCAUCUAAGCACGAAACUUGCCCCGAGAUGAGUUCUCCCUGAGACUUUGAGUCUCCUGAAGGAACGUUAAAGACGAUGACGUUGAUAGGCCGGGUGUGUAAGCGCAGCGAUGCGUUGAGCUAACCGGUACUAAUGAACCGUGAGGCUUAACCUU